CAUAAUACAUGCAAGUCGAACGAAAAAGGUCUUCGGGCCUUUUUAGUGGCAAACGGGCGAGUAACACAUAUUUAACUUGCUCAUCCGAGGAGAAUAGCAGCCCGAAAGGGCUAUUAAUACGCCAUAGUUUUAAAUUAGUGAAUUAAUUUAAAUUAAAGGAGGCUGCCGAAAGGUGGCCUCGCGGAUGAAUAGGAAUAUGUCCUAUUAGGUCGUUGGAGAGGUAAUGGCUCACCAAGCCGAUGAUGGGUAGCUGGACUGAGAGGUUGAACAGCCGCAAUGGGAUUGAGAAAUGGCCCAUAUUCCUACGGGAAGCAGCAGUGAGGAAUUUUUCACAAUGGACGAAAGUCUGAUGGAGCAAUACCACGUGAACGAUGAAGGUCUUCUGAUUGUAAAGUUCUUUUAUUUAGGAAAAAAAGCGCGGCAGGAAAUGGCCGCGCCUUGAUUGUACUAAUUGAAUAAGUGACAGCUAACUAUGUGCCAGCAGCUGCGGUAAAACAUAGGUCACGAGCAUUAUCCGGAUUUAUUGGGCGUAAAGGAAGCGUAGGCUGAAAUGUGUAUUCAUUGUUAAAAAUAUUUGCUUAACAAGUGUUCGCGGUGAAGAUUACAUUUCUAGAAUUAGUUAGAGGGUACUGGAAUUCAAUGUGUAGUGGUGGAAUACGUAGAUAUAUUGAGGAACACCAGAGGCUAAGGCGAGUGCCUGGAACAUAAUUGACGCUGAGGCUUGAAAGCGUGGGUAGCAAAUGGGAUUAGAUACCCCAGUAGUCCACGCCGUAAACGAUGGGUAUUAGUCAUUUGGAUUUAAGACUGAGUGAUGUAGCUAACGCGUUAAAUACCCCGCCUGGGUAGUAUAUAUGCAAAUAUGAAACUCAAAGAAAUUGACGGGGACCUGAACAAG
This 895-nucleotide ribosomal RNA is filed under the name uncultured Mycoplasma sp. RNAcentral's name for it is "bacterial SSU rRNA". It matches the Rfam family "Bacterial small subunit ribosomal RNA", at positions 47 to 929 of the family's 1533-position model. Lineage: Bacteria; Bacillati; Mycoplasmatota; Mollicutes; Mycoplasmatales; Mycoplasmataceae. The record is from RNAcentral.